GGCUUUUUUCGCCCAGACGGAGCUCGACCGCUAACUAAAAUAAUGGUUCAGUUUAUCGAUGAUUAUAAAGAUAAUUAGGGGAUCGAGCCUAUCUGCAGAAUCCUACCGAUUGCCCCA
This is a regulatory RNA element of Psychrobacter arcticus 273-4, 117 nucleotides long. It matches the Rfam family "ALIL pseudoknot". NCBI's taxonomy places the organism in Bacteria, Pseudomonadati, Pseudomonadota, Gammaproteobacteria, Moraxellales, Moraxellaceae. The record is from Rfam.